Salmo salar (Atlantic salmon) is the source of this 54-nucleotide non-coding RNA. The record is from Rfam. Lineage: Eukaryota; Metazoa; Chordata; Actinopteri; Salmoniformes; Salmonidae.
AGUCAAGGUAUUUGUAAGUCGCUCUGGAUAAGAGCGUCUGCUAAAUGACUUAAA